This 254-nucleotide ribosomal RNA is filed under the name uncultured bacterium. Its description in RNAcentral is "partial 16S ribosomal RNA". It matches the Rfam family "Bacterial small subunit ribosomal RNA", at positions 524 to 777 of the family's 1533-position model. The record is from RNAcentral.
UACGAAGGGGGCUAGCGUUGCUCGGAAUCACUGGGCGUAAAGGGUGCGUAGGCGGGUCUUUAAGUCAGGGGUGAAAUCCUGGAGCUCAACUCCAGAACUGCCUUCGAUACUGGAGAGCUUGAGUCCGGGAGAGGUGAGUGGAACUGCGAGUGUAGAGGUGAAAUUCGUAGAUAUUCGCAAGAACACCAGUGGCGAAGGCGGCUCACUGGCCCGGUACUGACGCUGAGGUGCGAAAGCGUGGGGAGCAAACAGGG